This 429-nucleotide ribosomal RNA is filed under the name Chloroflexota bacterium. RNAcentral describes it as "Chloroflexi bacterium partial 16S ribosomal RNA". It matches the Rfam family "Bacterial small subunit ribosomal RNA", at positions 355 to 776 of the family's 1533-position model. Lineage: Bacteria; Bacillati; Chloroflexota. The record is from RNAcentral.
UGGGGAAUAUUGCACAAUGGGCGCAAGCCUGAUGCAGCCAUGCCGCGUGUGUGAAGAAGGCCUUCGGGUUGUAAAGCACUUUCAGCGGGGAGGAAGGCGUUAAGGUUAAUAACCUUGGCGAUUGACGUUACCCGCAGAAGAAGCACCGGCUAACUCCGUGCCAGCAGCCGCGGUAAUACGUAGGUGGCAAGCGUUGUCCGGAUUUAUUGGGCGUAAAGCGAGCGCAGGCGGUUUCUUAAGUCUGAUGUGAAAGCCCCCGGCUCAACCGGGGAGGGUCAUUGGAAACUGGGAGACUUGAGUGCAGAAGAGGAGAGUGGAAUUCCAUGUGUAGCGGUGAAAUGCGUAGAUAUAUGGAGGAACACCAGUGGCGAAGGCGGCUCUCUGGUCUGUAACUGACGCUCAGGUGCGAAAGCGUGGGGAGCAAACAGG